CCUACGGGAGGCUGCAGUGAGGAAUAUUGGUCAAUGGACGAGAGUCUGAACCAGCCAUGUAGCGUGCAGGAUGACUGCCCUAUGGGUUGUAAACUUCUUUUAUAUUGGAGUAAAAUGUUCCACGUGUGGGGUUUUGUAUGUACCAUAUGAAUAAGGAUCGGCUAACUCCGUGCCAGCAGCCGCGGUAAUACGGAGGAUCCGAGCGUUAUCCGGAUUUAUUGGGUUUAAAGGGAGCGUAGGUGGAUUGUUAAGUCAGUUGUGAAAUUUUGCGGCUCAACCGCAAAAUUGCAGUUGAAACUGGUAGUCUAGAGAACAGUAGAGGUAGGCGGAAUGCGUGGUGUAGCGGUGAAAUGCUUAGAGAUCACGAAGAACUCCGAUUGCGAAGGCAGCUCACUGGACUGUAACUGACAUUGAGGCACGAAAGUGUGGGUAUCAAACAGGAUUAGAUACCCUGGUAGUC
Molecule: ribosomal RNA, 460 nt
Filed under: uncultured bacterium
Lineage: Bacteria
Description: partial 16S ribosomal RNA
Rfam family: Bacterial small subunit ribosomal RNA
Source: RNAcentral